CGGCGGACGGGUGAGUAAUGCCUAGGAAUCUGCCUGGUAGUGGGGGACAACGUUUCGGAAGGAACGCUAAUACCGCAUACGUCCUACGGGAGAAAGCAGGGGACCUUCGGGCCUUGCGCUAUCAGAUGAGCCUAGGUCGGAUUAGCUAGUUGGUGAGGUAAUGGCUCACCAAGGCGACGAUCCGUAACUGGUCUGAGAGGAUGAUCAGUCACACUGGAACUGAGACACGGUCCAGACUCCUACGGGAGGCAGCAGCC
Molecule: ribosomal RNA, 257 nt
Filed under: uncultured Pseudomonas sp.
Lineage: Bacteria; Pseudomonadati; Pseudomonadota; Gammaproteobacteria; Pseudomonadales; Pseudomonadaceae
Description: partial 16S ribosomal RNA
Rfam family: Bacterial small subunit ribosomal RNA
Source: RNAcentral